UCGCUGACAGGUGGAUGUGGAGUUGGGAGCCAGCCACCAGGCCUCCUCCUCUCGCUCAUCCCACCGGCCGUCCACCCUGUUCGUUCCCAAAUUCCCAAACCUAGUUGGAGUAGAAGCCAGCCAGUCCAGCUGCAAGGCGGCGCAGCAGCCGACCUCCAUCCUCCUCUUCGAUCCGCCGCAGGCCGACGCUUCUAGCGUGGUGGGAGUGGAGAUCCGUCCAUCCGGUCCGCCGCCUUCCCCCUUGUUGGCUGGUGAGUAAUUCAUCGAUCCCAACUUGUUUUCUUCACUCGAAGGAUUCCAUUGUUUGUUCCAGGAAUCGCUUGGUCUUGAGAGUUCUCAUUCAGAUCCAAAUCGCUCCCUCCCCAUUUCAGUUUGCUGUGGAUUCAAAAAUCAUCCAUUUAGGGUUUCGUUCGAUUAAGUGGUUCGUCUUGUGCUCCUGCUGCGCUCGAGAAUGACAAUCAGCAGAUGCCGGCGGAACUUAUUUCCCUGAAAAAAGAGAGAUGAUUUUUGGUGUUCCUUUAAUUGAGCCCCCAUGCGCGCGGCUAUUGUUGGCUAAAACUGCGUUAUUUUAGCGCACGAGUAGAUUUUUUUUGGACUACAUGACUACAUGUCGGCACUAAAUUUAGAUGACGCCAUAAAAAAAUUGAUACUUUCCCCUCGAUGUCUGUUCAACGUAGCUGUUCGAGUUCCCUUUCCCCCUCGGACAGGAGAUCUGUGUUUUCUAGAUGUCGCAACAGCAUUAUGUUCUAUGGCUCAUUCAUUUGGUUUCGAGAGAAGUAGUAUACAACCUUGAAGCUAGCGGCAUCUGUUCAAUGACCUGACGUUUCUUGGUCCGUUUUUUUUUUCAAAUAGGUACACAGAUUGAACUAUGGACAACCUGUGGCAUCUUGGAGAUGAGCUCCGUGGCCAGCCAAAGGUAGUGGAGGACCGCCAGUGGUCUCUCAUGACCUCCAAGCUCGCUGAGAUCACCAAGUCCAAGGGCGAGAGGAUGAACGACCUUGACUAUGCGCGGAUGAACACCGUCCCUGAGGUCAAGCAGUGGGAUAAGAUGCAGUAUCACCAUGAUGAACCCAGGAUGGAUCACAUCAAUCUUGGCCUCAUGAACCUGGAUCUGAAGAUGAAUGAUCUGAAGAUGAACGAGGCUGCCCUCAAGAACCCUUUCCGCAACAUGGGUUAUAACAUGAACCCAAUGUACCCCAAGGGGAACAAUGCCAAUGUCAAUGCAUUCAAGAUGAAUGUUGGGGUCAACAAGUACUCCAAUAGUCCUAAUGUGAAAGAGGCCAUUGGAAAAAACAAUGGUGCCAACAACAAUGGAAGCAACAGCAAUGGAAACGCUAACAACAAUUCUGCUGUUGACAAGCGCUUCAAGACACUGCCAACGAGUGAGAUGCUACCAAGGAAUGAAGUCCUUGGUGGGUACAUCUUUGUCUGCAACAAUGAUACCAUGCAGGAGGAUCUCAAGAGGCAGCUUUUUGGUAUGCGUUACCACUUCUCCUGAUAAAUAACAUGAAAUAUUGUUCUGAAAAAUAACUUUCAUACCAUUUUUAAACUUUCUUUUGAUAAUAGCAUCUCAAGAUCUGUUGCUCUUCUGCAGGGUUGCCAGCAAGAUAUCGGGAUUCAGUCCGAGCAAUUACUCCUGGACUGCCUCUUUUCCUCUAUAACUACACAACUCACCAGCUUCAUGGAGUAUUUGAGGUUUGUGAUUAGCUGAUUUGCUGCUCCUUGGAUAGCCUCUCUGACCUUGUUAAACAGUUGUUUGUUUGUAAUACAUAAGAUAUUGCUAGCUAAUAAAUUGUGCAUCUUACUUUAAAAAAAAAAAGUAAAUUGCGCAUCUAACUAUCCAAGAAAUGGUCUUGUGCUUUCAUGCACUAUUACCAUUCUAGAUGGAAUAUUUUUAGCUUGCCUUCAUCUUUCUCCUUUUCCUUGUGCCCUUGUAUGUAAUUUCUUCUAACUAAUGAUUUGGUAGCAUUUAAAAAUAAACAUUAAACUAGAAAGUAUGAUCAUGGUUUUCCAGAUACUAUAGUAUAUGCAACCAAGCCUACACCAAUGUUUUAAAUCUCCCACUAUAGCUGCUGCUAUAGCCCGCUAUAGUUAUUUAAGGCAUGGUACCACUAUUUACUCUCAUGUACAAUUUAACCGCUAUAUCCCACUAUAGCCCCAUUUAGUUCCACUAUUAGCUGUUUUAGAGUCCUCCGCUAAACCUCUUAGCCCGCUAUUUAAAACAUUGGCCUAUACACAUUUUAGGUACAUGACAGCACAUCCAAGAAUUGCACUCUUGUAAGGCAGCUUUAGCUAGUAUUUCAUCCGGUGUUAGUUCCUACUUCCUACUGGUUUUGUAUGUGCUAUUUCACCAUCUCUGAUUCGGGUUAUUUUUUCAUGCCUAGUCUUGUAUGGUUUUGCACACUGUUGACGUAUUGUUACCAUUAUUUAGCAUUGCUUUAUAGUUGGAUCUAACUGUGCUUCUGUAUACAUCUAGCUCCAUAGUUUUUGUUAUUGACCCAUUUCUGUUAGCUCACUGAAUCAUCAUUGUUGUCAGUUUCAAUAAAUGAAUGCCUACUUCGAUUCCAUACAUUUUUAUUGUUAUUGAAGUUUUAAUCCCAUCUUAUGCUUCAGAAUAAAUCUAGCGGCUAAUUGUCUUUUGGUUUUGAAAUGAAUUUGCUUAGGCUGCCAGUUUUGGUGGGUCUAAUAUUGAUCCCACUGCAUGGGAGGAUAAGAAGUGUAAAGGUGAAUCCAGAUUCCCAGCACAGGUACUGGCAACAUUUUGCAUAUGUUUGUUUCUCAUUUCCUUCUGAUUUCAUGAUCUGACAUCUUCAUCGUGUUAGGUGAGGAUCCGCAUUAGGAAGCUUUGCAAGCCAUUGGAAGAGGAUUCCUUCAGGCCAGUUUUGCACCACUACGAUGGCCCAAAAUUUCGCCUUGAGCUCUCCAUCGCGGAGGUAUAUACCAUAUCCCAGCUGCUGUGCACAUGAAUUAUACAGUGAAAGCUCCCUUGCACAAUGAAACUUUAUUAGCACAAUAGCCCUUGUGUUCAUAGACUUUAUCAGAAUUCUGCAUUCAUGCUGCCAUGGUGAUCAAAUCGGUUGAUGUUCAGCUUCCGUUUACAUGCUGCCAAGAAAGUUUAUUUUUUGUUUGUGUGUGGAAGUAUGUGACAAAGGACAGUUACUUUUUAUAUCACAUUCUGAGGUCUCAUAGUUUAGUUGCAGUGCUUAUGUGCAGUGCUGAGAUACACAUUAGCCUGCACCAAUUACAAUAUUCCCUUGUUUAAAUCUUAAUUGUUAUUUUCUUGAUGUCUCCUCUGCAAUUCCGUGCAUCCCAUAGGCAUUACUUGUCUGAGGUUGAACAUUAAAUGGUGGACAUUUGCUAAUCAUCCUUCAGAAUUAAGAUAAAACAUGUUAAUCCCCUUCUGCUGGUCAGAUGAUGGCAUUAUACAGGAGCUUGUAGGCAUGGGAACUUGUUUUAGUUUUUUUAUUGGUCUAUUUUAAAUUUGUUAUGCAUGUUGUCUGUUGCGAUAAAAGUUCUUAGAGCAUAAGAAGAUGAGAAGUUUGUUUUUUUCUUAAAAAAGUGUGGUCAUGUCAAUCAUUCUCAUCAAAUAUAAUUUUUGCAGACCUUGUCACUGCUAGACCUGUGCGAGAAGGAAGGCAUCUGAGCUGUUGGGGAGGUGGUUGCCUUGAGCUUCUAGUAAAUAUUAAUCAUCCUUGUAUGUUUUGUGGAUGGUGGUUGGGCAAUGUUGUUUGUUUAAGCGCAAGCUGCUGCUGGUUUCAUUUUCCCUACCUGCAAGGAAGGAAGGAGAAGACCUGGUACUUGGAAGGCCCCUCGAAAAAAGCAAGCUGUGAGGCUGUCUGUGUACUGCGUUGCGUUGUGUCGUCCUGAACCGAAUCAAUCCUGGGUUGGAGAUGUGUAUGUUUUGCUGUCUAUCUAUCUACGUGUGGUAGCAGAGUUGAGUAUACCUGGGCAGAAUGGGACCCCGAAAGAUGGGGCCCUGUAUACUGUGUAAUGGGUUACGAUGCAUGCAUCAUGGCGCCCCAAAGUAAGGGCCGAUGAUGUCGUCGUUCUGAGUUUGUGUUUUGUGGUGUUGUACCUUGAACCUCCUUUGCAUUUGACUUGAUGCUACCUUUUGCACUGUCUGAGAGUGUUGGCUUCUGGUUCACGUUAUGCUGUGAUGUACCAUGGUUGAUUCAGUUUGGGUGUUGUGAAGGCUAAAAACUAAAAGGUGGCUUGUGGAACAUUGUGUCCAGCAGCAGGUUAUGGGUUGCAGGUGCACCUACCAAACUUGGUGUGUGAAACAAAACAAGAGCAACUGAUAAGGUGGUUGAUUGCAUCGGUUCAACUGCUCUCGGUCAGACAGGAAGGAGCAGCAGCUCUUUGUUGGUGCGCUGUCUCCAUGUGUUUUUCAGCACUCACUGAUUCCUGAACUGAAUGCAGUUCUCGUCGGAGGGUACCAUGUCAGCACUCCAAAAAGCUCAGGAAUCCCAGUCGUAAACCGUUGAACAAUCGACGUUUCAGCUUUGGCGGCGACAAGAGAUUGGAUUGAUUGCCUCGUCUGCUGUUAAUUGAAACAGGGCAGCUUAACACGUAAGGUAAAGCAGUCUGCUGCAGUGCAGAGGACGAACGCGACGUGCAACCCGUGCGCCUGCUGUACCUGCUCUGCAGAUACAUGCAUUAGACUAGAAAGAUACAUGCUCUGCAGAGUGAGUAUUAUGCCUCUUGUUCCAUUCUCAUCUCACUGGACAGAAAUCGCCAGUAACCAUUCCUUUUGAGGUUUCAGUUUGAUCCCAGCUCAUUCUGAAUGUGCAGCAGCAGACCAGCGGCAGCACAAGUAGGAGCAGGGGAGGGAAGGGGAGUGUAUGAGUACUUGUACUUGGGGUUGAAUAAGCCAAGUGCACGAAACCUCAGCUAUUGCAAUUAGAUAUAAUCAUCAGAUAGAAGUAAAAAAAAAAAGGCGGUCAGAAUCAACAUUAUAAAGUCAGGGGCUGAAACUGCAACGCACAUCGGUAUCGGUACAGAACAAGAAGGCUGCCCUCAACGAAACACAUCUUCGAGGCCAGGAGCAGGCAGCAGCUCAUCUGAUUUCCGAAUCUCACGAUGGUGGCUGGAUCUCGAUGUUGUCAAUCAACCUCACCUUCCCAAACCAUGCGGCGACACAAAUCACAGCAGGGCGAUCGAUCCUCUCAACAGGCGUCAAGCUCUCUUGCUCCACAAUCUGCGUUCACAACAGCGAUCCAUUUCAUGUUAGACUAACUUUCCCAACUUGCGGGUCACUUACCAUAUACAAAACGUCUCCUGAGAUGUCAUCACGCUAUUAUCAAAGCCGUCUAAUCGAAACCAAACAUUCAGUCUUCCCACAAGUCAGGUUUAAUAACAAAAGGUUUAAUUAUAUAAAAAAGGUUUUCUGAACUGUUUCAUGAUACAAAGCAUAAAUGCCUAAAGCUUUCAAAGGCUCUCGAGGAAAAUACCAGAAUAAGAUACCACAAAACAAUAACCACUUUCGCUAAAUAAAAACAAUAACCACAAUGACGACGACGACCAUGAUGGGAUUGCAGAGAACUCAACCGCCAGAUAAAAGGUCUAAAAACACAGAUAACUUGAACAGCUGAGCAAAAGCCAAGAACAUUACCUCAACAUAGUCAACCUGACCGCCAGCUUCUUCAAGUGUCUGCACUAUUUGAUCUUUUAUUUGUUGGCCAUGACUGUUUCCAUUCAGCGCAGCGGUUCUAGCAUUCACCAGUGAUCUACUGAUGGAUAAUGCCUACAUAGGAGAUCAUCACAAUCGAAGGAAGGUUUAUUUUGAGAAAGGUGCAAAGAUAUUUACAAAGAGUAUAUGCAAUGAUCAACAAUUGAAAAUAAUGCUUUCUUCUAGGAUUUUUACAUGUAGCUCCCCUCCAUAGCUAUAAAUAAAUUUGUUAUAUCUCGCCUAUCGAGUCAUAAGAACCACCUAAAGAUUAUUGUGCCAACAAACUGAUAACAGCUCAAACCGAAAGAGGAGCAACAUGGAAAACAGCGGUGAAAGUAACUCCUGCUGCAAGGUCGAAAUUUUAGUUAUAUUCAAAUUUUCACCUAGAGCCAGUUCAACAACUGCAGAGGAAAGUUGGUGCAUUUCGCACAAGGCUUGUGUCGAAAAGUUGUGAUGUGAGGCCAAACUAGAUAAAGCAUUGAACAAAUUGAACCACGAAUUUGUUGAACAAACUGGCCCAACAGGUUGAUCCAGGAGGGGAAGGAUACACUGGACAGCAAGACAAACCUAAUUCUAAAACACUGUAAUUUCUAUGGUUCUCUGUAUUUUGGCGAUAGCAAUACCACAAAUUGUCAAAAAAAAUCACUACAAAAACAAUCUACCAGCUUUUUUCAGAAAAAGACAAACCUUUUCCCUUUCCUCACACGAUAGGUGCACAUUGCGGGAGCUCAUGGCAAGACCAUCAGCUUCUCGCACUAUUUCUGAGCCAAUAAUCUCAAUGGCAAAAUCAAGAUCAUGAACCUGAAAACAACAAAGCUUUAUCUCAGCAACAGAAACUAACUAGAGUUACACUGAGAUAAACAGAUAAGAGAUGACACACAUUAUGUGGGGAUGCAACUGAAGAGAACCAUCAAAACAGAAAGCAAACAAGUUAACCACUGAAGCAUUAUUUGAUUCAAAAUGGACAUUUGGAUGGAGCAAAAUGUAGUCUCUAAAUAGUCACCAUGUGAUAAGCUAUUUAUAGACUAUCUAGAAGCAAGUUGGUCAAGUUGGUGAAUAGGGCAGUGAAGAGAAGAAAAAAGAACUACUAUUCUGCUAGGUAGUUACCAUCAUUCGAUGGCCAACUUUGCGCUUACUCAUCAAUGUUGUUUUAUUCUAUUCAUAUAACUACUUGAAUUGCCGAACCUGACAGACAGCAAUUAUAAAAGAAACAAAGUAGUAUGUUAAUGCCAAACAAGUUAUUGUUCUAAAAAAGUUACCAUCCGGCAGAGGAAGGAAGGUGGAAAUAAACAGGAGCAAAAAACAUUAUUUUAGAUUUGUUACCAUUACUGUAUCUGGAUGGCCUACUCCUUUUUUUUGGAACUAAAACAAACUGGAUGGCCUACUUUGUUCUCACAUAGCAAGACUGUAUUUUCAGCACUUGAACAGUUGGACCUGACAGACGCCAACCAAAACUGAACAAAGUGCAUGCAUGUGUCAGUGUCAAUGUCAAAGAAGUUACCAUCCGGCAGAUGACGCGCCACUGUUGAUAAUCCUUCUUCCCGAACACCGCGAUGUCCGGCUCGACGAUGUUGAAGAGCUUGGCGACGACGGUAGCCACGCCGCGGAAGAAGACGGGCCUGCUGCUCCCGCACAGCCCCUUCUCCAGCCGCUCCACGCGAAUCCACGUCUCGUGCCCGUACCCAUCGCCCUGCUCCAGGCAGGAGAUCGCGCCCCCGGACUCGCUGGCAUCGGGGCGGCCGCCGCGGACGUAGAGGUCCGGGGGGCAGAAAACCGCGGCAACGGCGCCAGUGGCGGCGAGCUUGCGGAGGUCCCCGGCGAAGUCGGAGGGGUAGGUGGCGAGGUCCUCGGUGGGGGCGAACUGGCUGGGAUUGACGUAGAUGGAGACGACGACGGCGACGGGGCCGGCGGCGGCCGCCACCGCUGCGGAGACGAGCGAGAGGUGGCCGUCGUGGAGGAAGCCCAUGGUGGGGACGAGAGCGACGACCUUGCCCUCCGCGCGACGGCGGCGUGACCACGCGCGCAUCGCCGCCUUGUCACGGAUCACCUCCGGCUCAUGCGCCGCCGCCGGCAUGGGAGCAAAAUGGAAUCGCACGGCAGACUGAUGAGGAGGAGGAAAAGAAAAAAGAAAGAAAUUUGUUGACAAUAAGUGAGAAUGGGAUGCGGCAGCAGAUAAGUUGUGGGGAGGAAACGGAAUCGAGGACGGCCAGAGAGUGGGAGGGGAAAGAAGGAAUUUUCUUUCUGCCUGUUGCAAUUCAAAAACAAUGCAGCAAGUAGCAGCCAGGGUAGACUCUUUCUGGACAUGAUAACGACAUCUACCCGCCAUCGAUCGUUGGAUAAUAUCAAUAAAAACAUUUUUUUUCUUUCCAGCUAGCACAAUGGAAUUGUAGAUGCAGGAUUACAAUCGUUUUUCAAGCUAUCUCGAAAGAAAGCAGGUGCUAACAUGCCACGCUGCUCUCCGCUCGUAAGAUGCUUGCUUAUACUUCCUCCGUUCCAAAUUGCAGGUCAUUUUAGCGUUGAUAUGUAUAGAUGGAAAAACCAAAAUGAUCUACAAUUUGGAACGGAGGGAGAAGCAUAUUAGCUGAGACAUUAUUAGAGGUGCGCAAGGGAAAAUUAAUUUCCUGCGGAGCUCCUUGGUAUCCAAAAGUAAUUUCCACCGGGUUCUUCCAUGUAUCCACAAUGAGUUGGCAGCGAGUUUCAACAAUAUAUACAGACCGUGGAUCACACCACUGGCAUGUUGUGGUCUCUAUGCCUGGUAAAUAGUUGGAUCAGACUGGAGAGUCGGUUCCCAGAAUCCCACGCAUGAUGAACCCUUCAUCUGAGGAACAACCGUGUCAUUCAGCAUCUCAUAUAUUUCAGCACAUUGUGGAUGCUCUUGAUCCCUAGAGUAGAACACAUGAUUCCUCAUGUUCGCCUCAAUCUGACUAAAACCAGGCGCCUUCUUCGACUUACUGCCCUUCAUGAUCUUCCACACAUUUGCUGUCUCAUCCCACAUUCCAUGUGACGCAAAUACAUUGGCCAGAAGCGUGUAGCGUCCUGAAUCAGAGGGUUCGAAUCUGACAAGAUCCUCACCCACUUCUCUUGCUACCUCUACCUCUUUAUGCGUCACACAGGCUCCUAGUAGCGUCCCAAGAAUGGCUUCAUCACGCAUGCCCUGUGGCAUACUGUCGACAAGUUCCUUGGCCUCCCUAACAUACCCUGCUCGACCUAGAAGGUCAACAAGGCAAGAGUAGUGCUCAAUGCUUGGCUCUAUUCCGUAGCCAUGGUAAAUUGAUUUGAAAAUCUUGCGGCCUUUCUCGACCAAGCCAACAUGGCUACAAGCUGACAGAAUGGAUGUAAAGGUAGUUGAACUGGGCUUAUACCCAUGCCUCAACAUCUGAGCAAAGCCCUGUAAGGCAUGGUAACCACAGCCAUGGUUCGCAAAAGCUUGCAUUAUCGACGUCCAUGUUAUGGUAUCCUUCACUUCCAAUCUCUUAAAAGUGAGCUGAGCAGAAAGCAGAUCUCCACUUCUUGAGUACAUUGUGAGCAAGGCAUUUCCUAAAUCAGUUUCUGACAGGAGUCCAAGUGUGACAACCAAGCCAUGGAUUUGCUUAACUUCCAUUGUGCUCUCAAGCAUAACUAGGAUACUAAUUAAUGUACAGAUGUUAGGAGAUACCGCUGAGCGUCGCAUAAGAAGAAAUAUGUUUACGGCUUCAUCCUUACGCUUGGUCUUGGAAUACGCCUCGAUAAUGGUAUUCCAGGUCACCAGGUCUUUUGCAAGCAUCGAAUCGAAUAAUCUCUGGGCCUCAUUCAGCUGGUCAUUGUUGGCAUAAGCAGUAAUCAUCGCAUUCCAUGCCGCAGUAUCCUUUUUUGGCAUCAUAUCAAAGAACUCUCUUGCCCUGCACGCAAAACCAUUCUUUGCCAAGCCAGUGACCAUUAUAGUCCAAGAAAUCACAUUCCUGUGCGGCAUUGUCUCAAACAAUUGAACUGCUUCAUCCACUUUUCCAGCGCUGAGAAAACCGGAAAUCAUGGCAUUCCAAGAAUAUGUGUUCCUCUUGGGCAUCCUAUCGAACAGUUCCCAUGCCUCUUGAAUCUGACCACUGUCAGCGUAGGCCUUAACCAUGACUGUCCAAGCGACCACAUUCCUCUCAGGCAUUCGAUCAAACACCUCCCUGGCUUCCUUGAGCAUCCCAUUGCUUGCGUACCCCUGCACCAUCGCCGUCCACGAAACAACAUUUGGAUCAGGCAUCACAUCAAACAACUGGCGCGCUUCGUGAACACGGCCGGUGCGGCAGUACCCAUAGACCAUGCAGGUCCACGCGACGACGUUCUUCAUCGGCAUUCCGUCGAAUAGCUCGCGCGCGCGGUCGACACGCCCAGCCUUGAUGUACCCGUCGAGCAUAACGGUAUCCAGGUAAAGCCCCCGAGCAGCCGCGGGCGCCGCGCGGAAGAGCGCCUCCGCGCCCAGCAGGUCACGUUGCUGGAGGUGGCGGCUGAUGUUGGCGGCGUAGGAGACGGCAUCCUCCCGGUUUGGCGUUUCGGCGCGAGUGGCCGCGCCGCCGCGCUGCUGCUUGGGUGCGGCGGGGUUUUCGCUGGCCGAACGGAUGCCUUCUCGGGUGGGUUGCCGCGGCGGGUCAUGGGCCUCCGCAACGGUGCCAUGGAGGCGGAUGAGCGAGCACUGGAAGGGCAGCUCGAACGGGGCGCGGCCAGCGGUGAUGCCGCGCCGCCGCGCGAGGGCGAGCGAGUCGCCGCUGCUAGUACGGAUGUCUCCAUGGGCGCUUCGUCGUGGAGGCGUGCGGAACUUAGCGACGGUGCCGUGCCGGUGGAGCGGCGAGCAUUGGGAGAGGAGAGGGAGGACGCGCCGGCGCCGGCAACGGGGAAGCAUUGGGAGUUGGCGGGGAAUUUUGCAACUAGGUCCUCGGUUAGUAACCUAGCUGGUUCAGAACGAGGGGGCCAGCAUGGGUCAGCGUAUAUUAUGCGAAAAGGUCCAUACUAAAGUUUUUUUCGUUCAAGUAUACCCCCAACUGGAUCGCCAUUAUUAAUCGCGAUCCAAUUUUGGAUGACUGCGAACCGCCGGAUCAAUUAUACGCGGCUCAGAACGGCUUCUGGUAUAAUAGCAGCGGCCAUUUGUCGAAAUAGGCCUUAGUGUUUAAGAAUACCUUCAAACACUCCUGGUGGAUUUGAACCGUCCGAUCGACACUCCAGGGCCCAGAUCGAGGGGUGUAAUUUUACGGAAACGACCCUUCAUUGACAUGGCCGGUCAAAUGGGAUGCGAACCGGCGGCGGCGGCCGCCGCGCACGGCGACGUGGUGCCGCCGCCGCUGCUUCCGGCUUGCCCCCGAAAGAUCACUGCACGGCAAGGAGGAGCGAUUCCGGCGAGGAAGGUCGCGGUCCUCGAAGCGUGGAGGACUACCAUGGUGGCGCCGGAGGUCGUCGUCGGCAGAAUUUCAAAUGCAGAACCCAGACAGGACACUGAAAUGAAAAUUUCUUCCUUAUUCAUUAAGAAAAACUCAUGAACGAUCCAUAGAGUAGCGAUCCAACGAACCCAUUCCCACCUUAAUUACGCAAGCAAAAUCCGGCAUGCAUACUCUCAAUACAUACACCGAACUGAAGAAAAGAAACUUCUUUCGGCGGAGAAAGCAAAGCAGGGCACAGCAGAGCAAGACUGCAGGAGCAAAGCAAGGCAUGAAGCAAGGUGAUGAGCAGCUUGGCGGCGGCGCCUAUACAAAGGCGUGCUUCUCGAGCAGCUUGAGGACGUCCUCCUGGUUGUUGAGCUUGGCCACGUCGAUGGGCGUCUUCCCGUCCAGGUUCUGCAGCGUCCUGCAAAAGGCACAAGAUCAUGCAUGAGCAAUCGAGCUUCAGAAUGAGGAAUUUCCGUUUCAGCUCGGUCAUCAGUUUGGUAUCGAUCAUCAUCAAUCAGGUGGACGGUCCCUUACACGGCGGCGCCGCUCUCGAGCAGGAGGGCGACGCAGUCCUUGCGGCCGUAGCCGGCGGCGUAGUGCAGCGCGGUGUUAUUGUUCUUGUCCACCGCGUCCACCGCCGCGCCGGCGUCCAGGAGCACCUGCGCGCACUUGAGCUCGCCGUACCCGCACGCGAAGUGCAGGCCUCUACGGCCUUCCGAGUCCUCCUCGUCUUUGUCCACGCCAUCCUCCAGCGCCUUCUUCAGGCCCUGUCACCGUGACGACCAUGCAUACAGGUAUGUUCAGCAAUGAUCAUAGAGCCAGCCAACUGAUGAUGAUCCAGAGCGCGCUGCACUGCAGUGACAGUAAGGUGGCAGACUGACCUCGACGUCGCCGACGCUCGCAGUGUGGUGGAUGAUGGACGACUCCUCGUACUCGCCUUCCUCCUCGCCGGCCUCUUCCUCGGCCUCGUCGUGCUCCGCGCCGGCGGCCUCGCUCGAUGGGCCGACACCCAUCGCCCGCCCGAACUUCUGCAGAGCCUCGGGGUCGUUCCAGUACCUGCACAAACCAUGCAAGACACUCCAGCAGGCUCAGAGAUCAUUCAAUUCGUCGGUUUGCGCAAUCCUUCCUUGAUGAAUGAACUUGACGACUCACUUCAUCAUGGCAGCGGGGCCGCCGGUCUCGAUCUCGUCGAGGAUGGGCUUGAGCGUGGGGUCCUCCUUCAUGCGCGCGAUGCGAGCCUCGAGCUGCUCCUUGUGCGCCGGGUUGGUGAGCCCGCCCAGCAUCGUCGCCAUGGCCGGGUCCUGCAUCAGCGCGCUGCCCAGCCGCUCCGCCAUCGCCACGAACUGCGGGUUCUGCAUCAGCUGCUGCAUCGUCGCCACGUACUUCUGCGGGUCCAGCGCCGCCGCCGCCUGGGGCACCGCCUGCUUCGCCGCCGGCGCCUGCCGCGGGGACACCACCGUCUUCUGCAGCUGCUCCGCCAUCUGCGUGAACGCCGGGUCCUUGGCGAUCUGCUCCGCCAUCUCCUUGAUGCUCGGGUCCUGCUCGGUCCAUCCAUUCGUUCAUUUAAUUCCAACAAGAAAUAUCAAAUACUACAUCCAAACCGUAUCGAUUUCCAAAUAAGUGAAAUGAAAUGGCAUGAAAAUUUUGGGUUACCAAAAUCGAACCACGAAAAGCUAGCACUUUUUCACGCAAGGGAUCCGAGACUAAAAACGGCACGGUCUUCACAUGGUACAUGUACUACUGCCGACGGAGAUUAAGGCUGUUCAGCUCAAUUGAGUUUGUGAAUGAAUGAAUGCACCGGAUGAACAGCGUCAUGAACCCGGUCCAUCAUCUUUGCUAAUCUCUACUGAGCUUCACAUAUAAGAACUACUUCUAUGUUGCAAAAAAGGAAGGUGAUGCCUCAGCUGCGUACAUUAAGGAGGUUCAUCAUGGUGGAGAAGUCGAAGGGGUUGGCCGGCGCCGACGGCCCGGCCCUGCGCGUCGCCCCUGCUGCUGGCUGCUGCUCCUCCGCCGGCGAAGGCUCCUCUGUCUUGACCGUAGCAGUCUUCUCCUCUGCACAAACAACUCCAGUUAAAUUAUCUCUUCUCCAGCUCUUCAACUCCUUGGCGCAAAUCGCUCACGCAACAAAAGAAAAGAAAAGAAAAGGGAGAGAGAUUCCUGACUGACCUUGAGCAGCCAUGUCGACGGCGGCCGGGAAGGAAGCAGGCGCUGGCGCUGUUGCCCCUUGUUAGCGAUGAACCAGCCGAGGAUGACGAUAAGGUGCUGCUGUGGAGAGGAGGAAACGCGAGGGCGACCAACCAGAGGUGUCCACCGUGUGGUUUCGUUUUUAUAGGGGAAGGGUGCAUAAGCGCUUGAGACCUUGAGUGACUGCGGUUUCUACACAUGGAUGGAUGGAGAUGGAGCAAGUAGCAUCUCCUUCGACACAGCAAGGGCAAGGUAGAUCUUCCUAGCAAUUGCUCAGUUUUUUUCAAGGUAAAAAAAAACGCCGAUCUUUCUGAAUUCUUAAUCUACGUCUAGUUUUUUUUUUUAAGUUGUCAAGAAAAGGCACGUUGCUUUUUUAAGGUCACAUGGCAACCACGUAUAGAAUUUCAAAGCUGAAGUAUGAAAUACUUUCAAUUCCCGUGAUUAUCAUUUGCUUUCAAUUUUCUACGGAUAUCACGGUGAAAUGAGACCUUUUCUUUUCUCUAUAAUAAAGUCGUGCGUUGUGUAUUAGGGGGAAAAUAAAUGAAAACUUAUCUGUGAAAGGAAAAGAUAACCAAAUCAGCAUGAAUGAUAUUUUACCACUGAAUUUUUUUCGAAAGAUUACCACUGAUUUUCCCUAAAUAAAAAAGAAGUGAAUUUACCGUGUGAGUUGGGUCUUGGGUGAGCCUUUAGCAUCUACAGGGGACAGUGCGUGGGCCAGGAGAUUGAGGUGCCAAGCUUCUUGCGUGGCAUUGGGAAUCCAGGACAGGGAUUGGGAUAGCAAAUGUGUGGAUGGAAUUGCUUCUCCAGGAAACACCCUACUAUUGCGACAAAAUCCAUGAUGUUGUAUCUCUUCUACUAAUAUUUGCCACCUGUCACCAUUAUUGGACAGUACUCAUUCUAAUUCUACCACUCAUAAUGUUAUGAUUUUCACUGACUAUGUUUUCUUUCCCCUUUCUGAGAGUAUACAAGUGCGCAUUAUUACUAGCCUUCACUACAUUGAUAGAAUUAGUGCGGCAAAAGAUAGGUGACAUGCCAAAUCUGGGAACACCCCCCUCCCUCUGGCAUGAUCCAAAUAUGAAAGAACCCCCAGCGAUAAAAAGAGCGGGGUCAGAACGCCAGGUGCCAGAAUACUGUUACUAUAGUAAUACAGAAUACAAAAUAUAGCCGGAGGCACCUUCGUAUGCAUUAGUGUUUUUUUUACCACCCAACAAGGUAAAACCACGGCAAAAAUGCAGUGACAGAUGAGGGCAAAACAUGCAGCUGAAGCGUCUUCAGAUGCUUGCCACUCUGGCAGUGGCACAUUGGAGAACCCAACAGCCUAGCAGUCCCAGUCGCAGCAGCUCAAAAGGCGGAAAUGCUUCAACCAGCAGGAUCAAAACUUCCAACUGUGGGGCUCUUCAGCUGCAUGUGUCUGCCACACCGGAACCCAAGGGCCUAGCAGGGCCAGCAAAACUAGCUCAAAGUGGGCUGAUUUUGCUGUUUCUUCAACAGAUCCUCUACUUCUCUUUGACCAAGAUCAGUACAAACUCCUCCUUUAGGGAAACAAAUUUCCCAGGUCUUUCUGGAACAUUACUAUAUCACUGCAAAAGCCAUUUCUAGGCAGCAAAAUCAGCCCAGAACGUGAUGGCACUUUCAUGAAUAUUUGUGGAUUCCAAUAUUAAGGUCCGAUGAUAUGGAGGUCAGGUAUGGUGAUGUUUGGUGCCAAACAGCCUUGAACACUCGCUUCUGGUGUGCCUGAACAGACUGGCACGGCUUCUGGCCAUGAUACCUGAUGUCGAAAAUGUGGAUCACAGGGUCUGCAGAGCCAGAUGACACGUACCACCCAUCAGGAGACCAUGACUGGUUAAUCAGAGCUGACUGAGACUCGCUGCUCUCUUGCUUCCAACCGAAUGCAUGAACCUCAGUCUGCCUAAGCCUGAUGUCAAACAAGCGGAGCUGACUGCCUGGCGCCCUGUUAGCAAGAGAAAACAUACAGAUUGUUUUAAGCAUGCACCCCCAUGCAUUAAACGAGCACAACUGACAACCAUUGCACAAUGCACAUAGGACCCCACAUAAUAACUAUGUAUGUAAACUAAAAUGGAUUUUUCUUCAUAAAACUAGAGCUUCAGCAGUACAUUGACCUCCUAUGUUAUAAUGCAAGAAUAGGUUGAGAUGACUAAGAGGUUAAAGAUUACAACUAUGAAAUGGAUGCGUUAAUCCAGAAACAGCAUUCUUGGUCUGUUUGGAACUAUCGCAAUCACUGUGUGUUCAAUGGGGAUCCACCUAACCUGAAUGGAGUUCUAACUGUGCUAAGAGAAGAACUGCACUUGUGGAGUUUGGCUGGGGCUCAAGGAAUUUCUCAUCUCCUCGCCCUAGUACCCUUGCAAGUUUAGCUGGUGUUUCUGGUCUAGGUCUGGUCAUGGCUAUUUAGUUAAAAGGUGAUUGUUUCUGUGUGAGUUUUUUUUUUGGGAGUUCUGUACAGGGCCCCUAAACCUAUAUGUUACUUGGGGUUUCUAAACCCCUUUUUCUUCUUAACAUAUUGAUCCGCAGCUCCUCUCUUGCGUGUUCGAGAAAAAAAAUACUUACCCUGUCUGCACCAUGUAUAAGUUGAAAUCGCAUGGAUUUGUUAAUACACUCAUGCAUUUGCUAUCAAUUAGGUUCUUGAACUCUGUCCUUCCAGCAGAGAGAUCAAAUCCUAUUAUCCUCUUGUCGCAGCCAACUGAUAUUAUAGUUUUUUUCUGUUGCAAUCCAGCAACACCCAUGACAGCGGAAGAAUGGAAAUCCUUGUGCACUCUCUUGUGUUUCCAUGAAUCAUCUUUGUCUUCCCAAAGUAUAACAGCGUGAUCACUUCCCCCGGUCACAAAGCAUGCAUCAGACCAGGGCAUGAAACUGAUGUUGUUUAUGAUUCCCUUCGUGUGAGGCUUCUCUGGUAGGAAAGUAACCUUCCUCUGUUUCAGUACAGGGAAAAAAUUGUGGAACGCCCUUUAGUAAUAUUUCAAGAAAGUAAAUCAUCUGUUACUCACAAAAAUAAGGCAUAGAAAAGUAAACCUAGGGUUAACAGAACCAAUUCUUUCAAGGUUACAUCACCGUAACAACAAAUCACAUUAAGGCAUUGAUGCCUACAAGUGAAAACAGGAGAAUAGCAUGAAAAUAGUCAUUUAAGAACAGCUAAGUUACGAUUCGUUAAUUAAAGGUACACCACAUCAGCAUCCAAUCAUUUUUCCCAUCACACUUGAUAGAACAAAAAGAAAGAAAAAAUUCAGUCUCCUAACUAUAAUUUGCAGGGAUUAAGUAAAUGCACGAACAGGAAUAAUUAAAAGAACCAUCUCUCAAAUUCCUCCCUUUAACAAUAUUAUUUAAAAAUACUAAUGAUUUGAAAUCAGAUAUGCAGAAUUUGUUAUUAGUCUCAUUUUAACAACUGCUCCUAGAAUAGAGAAAGCUGUGUAGCAGGAUGUAAGGGCAUGCACCAGUUUUAACAGAGGCCUUACCUGUCCUGAUAUAAGGUUUGUCAUUGAAACCUGAGAAUCACCAUUAUCAGCAGUGUAUACAGCAAAAAUUGUGUCACCAUCUGGAUGCCAAGCUAUAUCUUCAGGCCAUCUAUGCUUUGGGGAAAAGCAAUCUGUUUUGCCACGAAAUGAGAUAGAAGGUCUGCGAGUACAAUAACGUAAAUUGUCAUGGUGCGAAAUUGAAAUGAUACGGUGAUACCCACCCAACAAAAUUUACCUUUUCAAUAAAGCAAACAGUCUUUGCAUCAGGGUGGUUCCCCAACCAUUUCAAGUUAAAGUGUACAAUGUACUCAAACAAUAGGUGGAUCUAUCACAGAGAACUAUAUUCUCCUUAGUCCUUAUAGUUACCUGCACUACUGGUAUAUAAAUUUAGCAUUGACAUUUUUACAUCACAUGUGAUGGGAUUGUAGCAUUUUUUCCUUCAAAAAGUACUGAUAUGGAACAUGGAUAUACCAUAUACAUAAAGAAAAAAUCAUACACUUCCAGCAUGUUGUAUCUUUACUCAAAUUUUAUCCAUUUUAGCCUGCCUCCUCAUGAGUACAUGGCUCCUUUAAACAGCCACGCAACUGGAUAUGCCAAUACAAAUCACUAAGAAACCAACUAACCUAGCAGAUAAGAUCACACUAUUGCUGCCUUGCUUGGAUGGAGCAGCCAUGCCGCUUGGCUGACAUGUUAAUCCUAGCCUGUCCGGUGACAGUUAAAUAUUUUACGAGAUUCAGAAGGCUAAGGUCAUUUCAUGUUAAAAUAGUAUAUCAGCCGUCACGCCCAUACCAAGUUCACUUUAAUUAAAACAAUAAGCUAAAAUUUUGCUGCCGCAUGUUGAAGGAGAGUUGUUGGGUGUUUGACCAUAGUGGUGUUACCCAUGGCACAUGUACUGUGUUGGCACAUCCUUUUUGGCCACUAACUGUGUUGAACUUUCAGUUUUGUCCCAGAGCAUUACAACAUUUUGGUUAUCUGAACCUGGGCUGCUGAAUUUAAUAUGUAAGUGUUGAGGAGAUGCAAGAAGUGAAACAAGAGACAAACAGUAUCAGGGAGCAAAUUAAAUUGCCUUUUCUGCUAAUGAAUGUUGCAAGGUAGACAUGCGCUAAGGUGGGCACUUAAGUCUUAACUGCAAAAAUCCACACUUGAGCUUCAUAAACGAAAUACUUAAAUCCACGUAAUUAAUUAUUGAUAUCAACCUCGUGUAUGCAUUUAUUAUCUACUUAGUGUCUUCGAGAACCCUAAGGCUCCUGUUGGCACAAUUCUACUAACCUAAUGCAAAACCCUCAUUAAGUACUGCUGAGUCAGUCAUUAAGACUUAUAUAAAGUACGGAUUUAAUUUUUGGCAAAGCCAUAAGUUUCAAUUCAUCAUCAAGUAACUAUAACCACUUAUGCUGAGCUCAUUGGAAGUGUCAUUGGGCACACACUUUACCCAGUUCAUAUUUCACUACCAUUUUAAAAAACUAGUGAAAUAUCUCUGAAAUAUGUUUGAAAGCUAAGUUAAAAAAAAGUUAGCAGGGAUGAAAAGAAAACAGCAUGCUGACAAUUCAGAGUGACAUUAUGCCUACCCUCUUGGCUCCACCUGCCACAAAGUAACCAAUCCAUCCAACGCACUGCAUCACAAGAAACCAUAAGAUUAAAAGUUUGGAAAACUUAAGCAAACUUCUCAUAUCAUUGGUAAUUAAAAUUAAUUAUUUCAUUUUGCUAAGAUGUCUAUCGGAACGGUGGUUGAGAACUUAGUCUGCCCUCCCAGUUUACAAUUCUAAACCAGCAAACCUAUAGUGCUGCCCACAAAAAAAAAAUGUUUCACAAAGAAGUACAGGCGUCCAACUUGGAACUUUGGAAGAAGAUUGCUUUGUGAGCCUGUGCUUGUAGACUGACAUUACAUAACUUUUUUUUUCGUGAAUUGUUGCAGGCAACCAGGUCGAAGCAAUUAAAAAUUAUGGAGGUGGAGAAAUGAUGCCAAAGAUGCCAAAGGUGACACUAAUAGUUUUUUUGAGCUUCUCAUUGCAUGAUCAUCCGUGAACUAUAGCCUACACCAAAUUCGCU
This 18746-nucleotide long non-coding RNA is filed under the name Setaria viridis. Its description in RNAcentral is "long non-coding RNA (SVIR_LNC010042)". Lineage: Eukaryota; Viridiplantae; Streptophyta; Magnoliopsida; Poales; Poaceae. The record is from RNAcentral.